Molecule: ribosomal RNA, 253 nt
Filed under: uncultured bacterium
Lineage: Bacteria
Description: partial 16S ribosomal RNA
Rfam family: Bacterial small subunit ribosomal RNA
Source: RNAcentral
GACGAACCGAGCGAACGUUGUUCGGAAUCAUUGGGCGUAAAGCGCGCGUAGGCGGCCCGGUAAGUCCGUUGUGAAAGUCGAAGGCUUAACCUUCGAAAGCCGAUGGAUACUGCCGGGCUAGAGUACGGAAGAGGCGAGUGGAAUUCCUGGUGUAGCGGUGGAAUGCGCAGAUAUCAGGAGGAACACCAAUAGCGAAGGCAGCUCGCUGGGACGUUACUGACGCUGAGGCGCGAAAGCGUGGGGAGCGAACAGG